ACUUAACAAACCAAAUGACUGCCCAAACAAACAUAAUUGACCUAACAUGAAAUGACACACAGGGGUAUAUAUAAUGGCUGAUCAGACCAUUGUGACACAUGAGGGGUAACAAACAAACACAAUCAUAAAUCACAAAACAAUGCAGUACAAUCUAGUUUGUUAAUAAACUAAACACUAAAGAAGAAAAUCAAAAACCAUUAAACCCUAAACUCAAAUAUUUAAUUAAAUACAAAUACUUUGUUUUAAAUUAAAGAAAACACACGUUCUCCCCUUCAGCAGGAAGUGGUGGUGUGGUCCAAUUAGCCCUCUUUGUAUUUAAUGGUUUCAAACCCUGGCUGCCAUCUUUUGUCCAGCAACUCCCAGGGAUGAUGGCAGGCAGAGGACAUAUCGGAGAGCACGCGUCACAGCUGCAAUCAUAGAGAUUUUGCUCUCCAUCCUAAGUGAUCCACUCUGACUCAGGGCUUCAGACACAAAGAGGGAAAGUUACAGUCAUUUUCAUCACCAUGUGAAGGCUUUUGUAUGGACUCUGCUAUCAGAGCUUUUAACAAGAGGACAGUCAGCACCGCGCUCUAUCACCGCUCUUUAUUGUUUCACAUCAAGUGGUGAACUCCUUCACUGAGAACUGCAGACGGAGCCUCCAGGUCCCUCAGGAGGUCAUUACGACAGGGAUGAGCAGCUCAAAAGCAGCUUAUGAUGGACAGCGCAGUGACAGCAGGGAAGGAGAGGACACAGUGUGGGGGGGAAAUAUAAAUUGGAAUGUGCCGAGUGGAAAUAGAUCGGUUUUCUGUUACAGAAGAAACUUUUGACAGUAUGGGAUCUUGCUUGCAUCAGCAAUCCUCCAGCUGAACAAAUAUGAACAGAAUAGCUCGCCGAAGCCUGUAAUUUAAAAUACUACGAGUCAUUUUUAUGAAAAGCUCAUCCUUGUUACGUGUGCAGAAAAAUACCGUUCACGUGUUCACCAAACCGCAUAGCUGCCUUGGUAUCGUGGACGGACUAGAAUUGCAUUGUAACUUACUGACCUUGCAUUUACUGGCUGACAGCAGCUAAUUCUGAUAUCUGCAGAAUUACAUUCUAGAAAUCUGCUCUUCACUCGGUCUGUGCCGUGUUUAACAGUCUUUGGAAACUAGAUUUUUCACCGGAGGACUCACGUGUCUGAUUUCUUUUAAAAACUUUGUGGAAUUUAAAAUGACUUCAGAGUAUUUGGCUGAGUCUUUUAUGGCUGACAUAAUGCUAAGCUGCUGCUUGUUAUGGAGUGUUGAAUAGUACACACAGUGUGUGAUUUCAGCCGGGUCAACCCUGUGAUUCACUGACUUCCACUGUGUGAUGUUUCUGUGUGAUGUGUCUACAGCACAGUGGAGAAACAGACAUUUUUUCUCAGUCUAGUCCAGUCACGUUAUUUGCUUUUCAUUCUCAUCAAUCUUCACCACUUCCUGUUUUACUUUCUGCUACCUUUCCUUUCAUACCUCUGUUUUCUCCCGUCGUGGGCUUCCUGCUGCUGUGAUUGUUUAACCUCCAUCUGUGUCUAAUCGUCUUCCCCUGCUGGUGUUUUUAGCCUCUCACGCUCUCCCAGUGCCACAUUGUUUCUGUACUUGCUGGUCCAGGAUUCAUUUCUUCAUGUAAUUCAUCUCCUGUGCCUGAGCUGCGCUGUUUUCCCCUUUUCUCAGUCUUUUAAUUCAGAUUGAAUAUUACAAUCGGUUGUUCCUACGUAGUGAAGUGGACCCUGGACCUUCUUAGGGGAACGUAACAGUAAACUCUCCACUCUGCAUGUUUGGCAUAUUGAUUUUGAUUACGUGUGAUAUGUAGUGGCAUCGCUUCCAAGAAUUUUGUUGCCUAAAGCUAAAAAUAAAUGAAUAAUAUAAAAAACAAUUCAAGCUUAUAUAUUGAAAGUAAUACAACACAUUACUUUCAAAAUAGUCAGUUCAAAGUGUCCGAUUGGUACUGGGUCUGCGACCUGGUGUUUCUGUGUGUUUUAGUUAUUAGAUUCUUUGAUUAUUGUUAUUCAUGGGUUUUGGUUCUA
Long non-coding RNA from Oreochromis niloticus (Nile tilapia), 2017 nucleotides. RefSeq lists it as uncharacterized. The transcript has 2 exons. NCBI's taxonomy places the organism in Eukaryota, Metazoa, Chordata, Actinopteri, Cichliformes, Cichlidae. The record is from RefSeq and is a predicted model, not a curated record.